Molecule: ribosomal RNA, 395 nt
Filed under: uncultured bacterium
Lineage: Bacteria
Description: bacterial SSU rRNA
Rfam family: Bacterial small subunit ribosomal RNA
Source: RNAcentral
GACGAACGCUGGCGGCGUGCUUAACACAUGCAAGUCGAGCGGUAAGGCCCUUUCGGGGGUACACGAGCGGCGAACGGGUGAGUAACACGUGGGUGACCUGCCCUUAGCUCUGGGAUAAGCCUGGGAAACUGGGUCUAAUACCGGAUAUGACUCCAUGACGCAUGUUGUGGGGUGGAAAGCCUUGUGCGGCUAGGGAUGGGCCCGCGGCCUAUCAGCUUGUUGGUGGGGUGAUGGCCACCAAGGCGACGACGGGUAGCCGGCCUGAGAGGGCGACCGGCCACACUGGGACUGAGACACGGCCCAGACUCCUACGGGAGGCAGCAGUGGGGAAUCUUGCGCAAUGGGCGAAAGCCUGACGCAGCGACGCCGCGUGAGGGAUGACGGCCUCGGUGUAA